UACAGAGGUCCCAAGCGUUGUUCGGAUUCAUUGGGCGUAAAGGGUGCGUAGGCGGCGCGGUAAGUCGGGUGUGAAAUCUCGGAGCUUAACUCCGAAACUGCAUUCGAUACUGCCGUGCUUGAGGACUGGAGAGGAGACUGGAAUUUACGGUGUAGCGGUGAAAUGCGUAGAUAUCGUAAGGAAGACCAGUGGCGAAGGCGGGGUCUCUGGACAGUUCCUGACGCUGAGGCACGAAGGCCAGGGGAGCAAACGGGGAUUAGAAA
RNAcentral lists this ribosomal RNA (263 nucleotides) under uncultured bacterium. RNAcentral's name for it is "partial 16S ribosomal RNA". It matches the Rfam family "Bacterial small subunit ribosomal RNA", at positions 524 to 784 of the family's 1533-position model. The record is from RNAcentral.